Molecule: long non-coding RNA, 1068 nt
Filed under: Mus spicilegus (steppe mouse)
Lineage: Eukaryota; Metazoa; Chordata; Mammalia; Rodentia; Muridae
Description: lncRNA (ENSMSIG00000019419.1)
Source: RNAcentral
CCCAAAAUGACUUUGGCAAGAGCCUAGGGUGUCUUCUGAGGAAAGAGUCCUGACCUUCAAAGAAAGGGCAGCAGGUGUAGGUAGAUUGGGGACAAAGUCAAAGUCAGCCUCAGUUACAUUGAGAGUUUGAGGCCAACCAGGCAACAUGAGAGAGGUAAAGAAGUACGGAGGGAGGGAUACUUGCUCUUCCAAGUUCGGCUGACGGCCAGACUGACUCUGGUUUUCCCUUACCUGUGAAUUGAAGAACUAAGUCGAUUAGAGAAGGUAUACACUACUAGUUAGUGGCUGGGUCUUGCCAGCUGUGUCCUGGGGUAGGGGCAGGUGGCCCUGGAUGACUUGACUGCUCCCUCCUCUCCUGUCUCUUUAGGGUGGAUGAAAGCAAAAGGACCCCUCUACUUAUCAAUCAGGUGCCAGCCAAGAGCCGGAGGACCCACCUAAGUACAGAGGUCAAGAACACCUACAACACUCACAAGGCCUGCAGGAAGGGUCAUGUGCCCCUGAGGCAGAUAAAGUCAGACCAGACCGAGGAGUUGGAUUCCAUCCGGAGGGAGCUGAGCAAGAUCAAAGCCCAGGUGGACAGCCUGUUGGAGAGUCUGGAGUCCAUGGAGCAGCAGACAGACCAGCACGUGGGGCAGGUACUCGAGGGGGUUCCCAGGCCACGCUCUCCAUGGGUCCCAGUUAUUCCUGCUCCCGAAGAUACCAGGGCUUUGGGGUUCUUCUGUUCAUGUCCUUCUCUGACUGGAGGUCUCCUUUACCUGCAUUGGACUUCAUUUCUCUUGCCUGUGCCCAUGGCCAGAGGACCUCUAUGACCUCUAGGUUGUCCUGGAUCCCUCCAGAUAUCGGGAGUCAAAGCAGCCGUCUCAGGUUCCCUCUUGUUCUUUGGAGUUCUAGAUUACUGCUAGACUCCUGAUUGAGCCAGUUGGGACCUCCGAACUUUGACUGUUGGCUCUCUAAACAGGAACAAAGGACAGUGAAGGGGACAGGUGUCCUGGAAGUAAGGACUUCUCAAAACACUGAGUCACACAUCCAAGGGCCAGAGGGCCUACCAAGAAGCAGGCAGCUCAGGGC